RNAcentral lists this unclassified non-coding RNA (337 nucleotides) under soil metagenome. RNAcentral's name for it is "partial contains 5.8S ribosomal RNA, internal transcribed spacer 2, and large subunit ribosomal RNA". The stretch from base 1 to 120 matches the Rfam family "5.8S ribosomal RNA", at positions 35 to 154 of the family's 154-position model. The record is from RNAcentral.
GAUGAAGAACGUAGCGAAAUGCGAUAAGUUGUGUGAAUUGCAGAAUUCAGUGAAUCAUCGAAUCUUUGAACGCACAUUGCGCCCCUUGGUAUUCCAUGGGGCAUGCCUGUUCGAGCGUCAUUUGUACACUCAAGCUUUGCUUGGUGUUGGGUGUUUGUCCCGCGUUGCGCGUGGACUCGCCUUAAAGCGAUUGGCAGCCGGCAUAUUGGCCUUGGAGCGCAGCACAUUUUGCGCUUCUAGUCAUGAAUGUUGGCGUCCAUUAAGCCUAUACAUUUGCUCUUGACCUCGGAUCAGGUAGGGAUACCCGCUGAACUUAAGCAUAUCAAUAAGCGGAGGA